Molecule: ribosomal RNA, 253 nt
Filed under: uncultured bacterium
Lineage: Bacteria
Description: partial 16S ribosomal RNA
Rfam family: Bacterial small subunit ribosomal RNA
Source: RNAcentral
UACGUAGGGUGCAAGCGUUGUCCGGAAUUAUUGGGCGUACAGAGCUCGUAGGCGGUCUGUCGCGUCGGCUGUGAAAACUCGGGGCUCAACCCCGAGCCUGCAGUCGAUACGGGCAGACUAGAGUGCGGUAGGGGAGACUGGAAUUCCUGGUGUAGCGGUGAAAUGCGCAGAUAUCAGGAGGAACACCGGUGGCGAAGGCGGAUCUCUGGGCCAUUACUGACGCUGAGGAGCGAAAGCGUGGGGAGCGAACAGG